AACGAACGCUGGCGGCAUGCCUAACACAUGCAAGUCGAACGAGACCUUCGGGUCUAGUGGUGCACGGGUGCGUAACGCGUGGGAACCUGCCCUUAGGUUCGGAAUAACUCCCCGAAAGGGGUGCUAAUACCGGAUAAUGUCUUCGGACCAAAGAUUUAUCGCCUUUGGAUGGGCCCGCGUUGGAUUAGCUAGUAGGUAGGGUAAAAGCCUACCAAGGCGACGAUCCAUAGCUGGUCUGAGAGGAUGAUCAGCCACACUGGGACUGAGACACGGCCCAGACUCCUACGGGAGGCAGCAGUGGGGAAUAUUGGACAAUGGGCGAAAGCCUGAUCCAGCAAUGCCGCGUGAGUGAUGAAGGCCUUAGGGUUGUAAAGCUCUUUUACCCGGGAUGAUAAUGACAGUACCGGGAGAAUAAGCUCCGGCUAACUCCGUG
This 433-nucleotide ribosomal RNA is filed under the name uncultured bacterium. RNAcentral describes it as "partial 16S ribosomal RNA". It matches the Rfam family "Bacterial small subunit ribosomal RNA", at positions 29 to 507 of the family's 1533-position model. The record is from RNAcentral.